UAUUGCACAAUGGGGGAAACCCUGAUGCAGCGACGCCGCGUGAAGGAAGAAGGCUUUCGGGUUGUAAACUUCUUUUAUCAGGGACGAAANCAAUGACGGUACCUGAUGAAUAAGCCACGGCUAACUACGUGCCAGCAGCCGCGGUAAUACGUAGGUGGCAAGCGUUAUCCGGAUUUACUGGGUGUAAAGGGCGUGUAGGCGGGACUGCAAGUCAGAUGUGAAAAUUAUGGGCUCAACCCAUAACCUGCAUUUGAAACUGUAGUUCUUGAGUGAUGGAGAGGCAGGCGGAAUUCCGUGUGUAGCGGUGAAAUGCGUAGAUAUACGGAGGAACACCAGUGGCGAAGGCGGCCUGCUGGACAUUAACUGACGCUGAGGCGCGAAAGCGUGGGGAGCAAACAG
RNAcentral lists this ribosomal RNA (399 nucleotides) under uncultured bacterium. Its description in RNAcentral is "bacterial SSU rRNA". It matches the Rfam family "Bacterial small subunit ribosomal RNA", at positions 362 to 775 of the family's 1533-position model. The record is from RNAcentral.